GCCGGGCGAGGUGGGGCGUGCCUGUGGUCCCAGCUACUCGGGAGGCUGAGGCUGGGGGAUCACUUCUUGAGUCCGGGAGUUCUGGGCUGUAGUGAGCUAUGCAGAUCGGAUAUCCGCACUAAAUUCGGCAUCAAUAUGGUGACCUCCUGGGAGCGGGGGACCACCAGGUUGCCUAAGCAGGAGGAACCAGCCCAGGUCGGAAACGGAGCAGGUCAAAACUCCCAUGCUGAUCAGUCGUGGGAUCGCGCCUGUGAAUAGUCACUGACCUCCAGCCUGGGCAACAUAGGGAGACCCCAUCUCUU
Unclassified non-coding RNA from Callithrix jacchus (white-tufted-ear marmoset), 302 nucleotides. It matches the Rfam family "Metazoan signal recognition particle RNA". Rfam says of the family: The signal recognition particle (SRP) is a universally conserved ribonucleoprotein. It is involved in the co-translational targeting of proteins to membranes. Lineage: Eukaryota; Metazoa; Chordata; Mammalia; Primates; Cebidae. The record is from Ensembl.